GAGCAGGUUGAAGGUUGGGUAACACCAACUGGAGGACCGAACCCGUGAAUGUUGAAAAAUUCUGGGAUGACUUGUGGAUAGGGGUGAAAGGCCAAUCAAACCUGGACAUAGCUGGUUCUCCGCGAAAUCUAUUUAGGUAGAGCGUCCGACGAAUUCCUUGGGGGGUAGAGCACUGGAUGGUUGCGGGCUGCGCGAGCGGUACCAAUACUAACCAAACUCCGAAUACCCAAGAGAACUAUCGGGCAGACACACGGCGGGUGCUAACGUCCGUCGUGAAAAGGGAAACAACCCUAACCAUCAUCUAAGGCCCCCAAGUCACGGCUAAGUGGGAAACGAUGUGGGAUUGCUUUGACAAUCAGGAGGUUGGCUUAGAAGCAGCCAUCCUUUAAAGAAAGCGUAACAGCUCACUGAUCAAGCGAUCCUGCGCGGAAAAUGUAACGGGGCUCAAGCCGUGCGCCGAAGAUAUGGGUUUGCAGUUUACUGCAAGCGGUAGCGGAGCGUUCCGUAGGCCGGUGAAGGUCAGGCGUGAGCCUGGCUGGAGGUAUCGGAAGUGAGAAUGCUGACAUGAGUAACGAUAAGAGUGUGAGAGACACUCUCGCCGAAAGACCAAGGGUUCCUGCGUAAAGCUAAUCUGCGCAGGGUUAGUCGGCCCCUAAGGCGAGGCUGAAAAGCGUAGUCGAUGGGAAGCAGGUAAAUAUUCCUGCACCAGCUGGAAGUGACGGAUGGCUUAACUCGUACCCACUUAUUGGAUUGUGUGUGCGGGGGCGUUGUCCCAGGAAAUAACUCCAGCAGAGACCGUACCCGAAACCGACACAGGUGGUCAGGUAGAGCAUACCAAGGCGUUUGAGAGAACUAUGCUGAAGGAACUCGGCAAAUUGCACGCGUAACUUCGGAAUAAGCGUGACUCACCUUGCGCAAGCAGGACUGAGUGGCACAAGCCAGGGGGUAGCGACUGUUUAGCAAAAACACAGGGCUCUGCGAAGCAGCAAUGCGACGUAUAGGGUCUGACGCCUGCCCGGUGCCUGAAGGUUAAAGGGAGAUGUGAAAGCGUCGAACUGAAGCCCAGGUAAACGGCGGCCGUAACUAUAACGGUCCUAAGGUAGCGAAAUUCCUUGUCGGGUAAGUUCCGACCUGCACGAAUGGCGUAACGA
This 1151-nucleotide ribosomal RNA is filed under the name Humulus lupulus var. cordifolius. Its description in RNAcentral is "bacterial LSU rRNA". It matches the Rfam family "Bacterial large subunit ribosomal RNA", at positions 738 to 2007 of the family's 2925-position model. Lineage: Eukaryota; Viridiplantae; Streptophyta; Magnoliopsida; Rosales; Cannabaceae. RNAcentral also lists the same sequence under 1 other name. The record is from RNAcentral.